GCCUGGGAAUACAGUUGUCCCACGUUAUCCAUGGUGGGAAUCUUCCGAGACUCCGGUGAAUGCCUGAAACUGAAGAAAGUACCAAACCCCAAAUAGACUGUUUUUCCCCAUACACACAUACCUAUGAUAAAGUUAAAUUUAUAAUUUAGGCGCAGUAAGAAACUAACCACAGUAACUAAUAGUAAAAUAGAACAAUCGUAACAAUGUAUGCUAAUAAAAGUUAUGUGAAUGUGGUCUCUCUCAAGAUACUUUAUUACAGCAAGUGUUCCUGUGGUGCUCUGACAUGACAAUGCCUAUGAGAUGCAGUGAGGUGGGCUGAUGUCAGUACGGUGUGGCAGUGUGGGGCUGUGAGUGACCUCACCUGAACACAAGACCUGCGGUACUGCUACAGCCUGUGUGCUAAGUGUGAUGGCAGUCAAGUGACUGGCUAGUGGGCAGUGUGUACAGUGAGGAUGAACUGGACAAAGAGGUAGCUCCUUUCCUGGGCAAGGUUCGAGACAGUGAAAGAUUUCAUUAUGUUAAGCAGGACGGUUUGCAACUUAACACUUACAAGUUACUUAUUUCUGGAAUUUUCUGUUUACUCUUUUUGGACCAUGGUUGAUCUCAGGUCACCGAAAUCAUAGACAGCAAAACUGUAGGUAAAGGCGACACUACUGUUCCCAUAGGCAGGCAGUGCUGCAGGUAGAAAUCUACUGGGGUGGAGGGCGGGACAUGAGACACACAUGGCAGGGGCCAGGGACAAGCUGGGAGGCUGUUGGUGUUUUUAGGCAGCCAUUGGUGAACACGACAGCCAUGGAAAGCUGGGAUAGAGGAGAAAUGUUUAGGAGACCAGCACUGCACAACUCGGUGAUUGGUUAGACACCAGGGGUGAGGAAAGGGAAACCAAGAAGAGCUUUCAGUAUUUUGGGGUAGACAGAGGAAGGUGGAAGGUGGGGGGCUAGAUUCCCAUUGACCUGAGUGAGGCCUCCCUUUCACUAGUAUUAGGGCCAACGACAGAACAAAUGCUAUGCUUCCUCUGCCCCCGGGGAAGAUGGCCUGUGCUGCUGGAAGGAUUCUUCCGAAUUGCCCGGGCCUGCCCAGAGGAAGUGGCAGGAGCUGGACUUGGCGUAGCGUUCACCAGGGAUCUUCCCUCGUUGCCCUCGGCUAUCUGACCCCUCUCAGAUAAGAUGGUUUUUCCCUGCCAGAGCUUGCAACAUGCUGAAAUACAGUCGUCCACAUGCCUCAUCUUCAAAUGCCCUGAAAAUGUCAUCUCUCUCUCUCUCUCUCUCUCCUAUCUCUCUCUCUCUCUCUAUUUUGUAUCUCUCCUAUUGUGCUAUCUCUCCCUGCAGAUAAGUGACACUUUCUUUUAAAAAAGUAAGCAAAGAGUGAAAUCACCUAAAGUCAAAAGGUAAAUGAGUGUAUGGUGAAAUUUUGUCUUUUAUUACUGUUUUUCACUGCCUGGGUAGGACCCUUUCUGCCAGCCCCUCAUUGAGGAGGUGCCUCCUUGUGUGUGUGGUGUUGGUGGAAGGUCAUGCUCACUUCCAAAUCCAGGACCUAGAGAGACCAGAUCUGACUUCUGGCCAUGGUCCAGCCAGGGACAGGCACGUGACAUAGCUUGGACUGGCUCCACACUCUGUUGGGGGAGGAAUGGAAGGAGGUUGAUGGUUCCGUGUUGGGUGCUUUCCUGCAAGCUGACCACACGUGCUUCCUGCUGCAGUAGCUUUGCUGUAGUCCUCACUGCCUGGGCCUCUGGGGCUCUCUCGGUUCUCAUCUGUUUGCCAAGCCUGUUUCUGCAGCCAUUUGUUUUUGUAUUUGUUAUUUAUUUGAAAGCCAGAAUCACAGAGAGGGGAGGUGGGAGGGAGACAGACAGGCAGACAGACAGAAAGGUCUUCCAUCCAUUGGUCCACUCCCAGAUGGCUGCAAUGGCUAGAGCUGAGCUGGUCUGAAGCCAGGAACCAGGAGCUUCUUCCGGGUCUCCCACAUGCAGGGGCCCAAGCACUUGGGCCACCUUCCAUUUUCUUCCCAGGAACAUGAGCAGGAAGCUGGAUUGAAAGUGGAGCAGCCAGGACUUAAUUGGUGCCCAUAUAGGAUGCUGGCAUCACAGGCAGUGGGCUAACCGCCUACACCACAGCACCGUCCCCUGCAGCCAUUUGUUGAUACCGUGGAUCCUGACAGUCUUUCAGUAAGAACUUUGCGUUUGCAGUGGGCGUCCGGUGCUGUGGUUACAACACCAUGUGGGAUGCCCACAUCCCUCAUCAGGGUGCUUGGUUCAAGUCCCACCUCUGCUUCCGUUUCUAGCUUUCUGCUAACGUGUACCAUAGGAGGCAGCAGGUGAUGGUUUAAGUACUUGGGUCCCUACCCCUACAUGGGAGACCUGAAACUGAGUUCCUGGAUCCUGGCUUCAGCCUGGCCCAGUUGCAGCAGUUGCAGGCACUUGGAGAGUGAACCAAUGGAUGAAAAAGUCUGUCUGUCUGUCUCUCUCUCUCUCUCUCUCUGCCUUAAAAAAAAGUUUGUGCUUACCAGAGCCAAGCUUUAUUUCUGUUACUUGCAAAUAAUAAUCUUGGCUGGGCAGAACGUCCACAUAGGGAAGGGAUUCUGGGACUGGGACACUCCCAAACACUUACUUUCUCCUUCACCUGUUGCUCCCCAAGCCCUUCCAUCAUAUGUGCUUAUGUGUGUACUGGGGCCAAGGGCUGAUCUAGACCAGAGAGAAUGAUUUCUAAGUACUAGGACUGACGUACCAAAAGAAAUCAUCUGCUGGGGGCCAGCAGUGUGGCUUAGUGAAUAAAGCUGCCACCUAUAGUGCUGGUUCGAGACCCAGCUGCUCCAUUUCCGAUCCACUGCUCUGCUAUGGCCUGGGAAAGCAAAAGAAGAUAGCCCAAGUGCGUGGGCCCCUGCCCCCAUGCGGGAGACCUGGAAGAAGCUCCUGGCUCCUGGCUUCAGCUUGGCCCAGCUCCAGCUGUUGCGGCCACUUGGGGAGUGAACCAGCAGAUGGAAGACCUCUCUUUUUCUUUCUCUGCCUCUGCCUCUCUCUAACUCUGCCUUUCAAAUAAAUAAAUAAAUCUUUAAAACAAAGAAAUCAUCUGCUAAGAAAACUGGACUCAAGCCCACUUAAGGGAUUACUGCGUUGCCUCAAACUGACAGAUUUAAACAUACUGAGUUGAAGAAGAACGUUGUCUCUGGGUGAGGGUUAAAGAUGAAGAACUGAAAAGCAUAGAGCUGUAGAAUUUGCUUCUACACCCUUGGCAGGAACAUCAUCAGAGCAGCAAGGCUGAGCCAGAGCAAGGGAUCUGGUGAUAUUUUACAGUUUUGCGUAAGGCACCUGCUUUGUUAUAAGUAGUUCCUAAAACUGAUGCUUCCGAUGUGGGGCUUAGCUUGAGGGCAGGAGGAAGGCAGUAACAGUUCCUGUGAGCGCCUAUUGUGUGACUGAGCUUCCAUCUACAUUUGAUAUGGGCCUGAGAAUCAUCAUUUUUUUAAUUCCAGGUCCUUGACCCCAUAGAGAGAAGGAUUCCAAGUGCAGGCAUCCAUAUGUGUAUGGCACACAUGAGAGCAGGAUUUGCUUAACAGGGAGGGAAUAAACAAACAUUCAUGCAUGGGUGUGGGCUGCCUCCUGGAGAAAUACCCAUCAGGAGGGGGCCAGAGCUUGCCCUUGAAAGAGAAAAAGAGAGAGGUACCGUCCAGUGUGAUCCAUGGAGAGAGACCGCUCCCUCGUUCUCAGCCUCUUUUUAUGAGUUAGGAGCUGGCACCUUAAUUGGAUAAACAGAUAGGGUGAGGUCUUAACACGUGUCCUGGUCCCAGCUGCGACACAGGUGCAUCCUGGGAAGAAGAGCAUAUUAAGCCGAUAGUUAAAGACAUACAGUUUCGUUGCGGGGCUGUACGAACUCCAGCUUGCUUAGACUUAACUGGCUGCCUAGUUACACCAAGUCACAUUGAUUUGUUUAAUUCACCCCGCAAACCCUCUUUUAUUCACAAGGAAACCGCAGACUGGAGACUCGCACAGAAGCAGAGUUUGCGACGGCAGAGCUGGGACUUGCGCCCUUCCUACGGUACUGUCAUACCUUCCGAAGGUGGCAGGAGAGAGGCAGGGGUGGGGAAGGACCCACAGAGAGACAUUAGGACAUAGGUAGACCACGCAGGCCCUUCUCUGCCCCUCACCUCCCCCUCAAUCUGUCUUUGGUCUCUCUCUGGGCCUAGAGAAGCUGAGCCCCACAGCCAGCCUCCCCUGGGCACCUUGCCCUCUGCUUUCCACUGGUGUCUGGCCAGCGAAGGUCCCUGACAGACGGCCAGAGGCUGGGAGGAGAGAGACAGGGUAUUUCUCCCCCCUUCCCUAUUGGUGUCGGUGCCAUUGGCCUAGCUCUUCUCGCACCGAGUUCCUGCCAGGCAGGCCCUGCUUGGGCUCUGCCUCCCGUGAGAGUGCUUUCCUCCCCUUGAGACCCCGAGGUAGCAACAGCUUCCUGCCCUGCCAGUCUUUGGUAGGUUCUCUUAGCCCCACCCAUGCUUCUGUAACGGAUCCUGUUAUGAAAACCUGCUAACUUGGGACCAGCGUCAAGCCGCAGCCUGCAACGCUGGCAUCCUAUAUGGGCGCUGCUUCGUGUCCUAGCUGCUCCACUUCCAAUCCAGGUUCCAGCUAACAGCCUGGGAAAAGCAGCAGGAGAUGGCUUGAGUGCUUGGGCCCCUGAGACCUGGAAGAAGCUCCUGGUUUCGGCCUGACCCAGCCUUGUCUGUUGCAGCCAUCUGGGGAGUGAACCAGUGGGUGGAAGAUCUCUCUCUCUCUCUGUAACUCUGACUUUCAAAUAUAUAAAUAAAUCUAAACACACACACACACACACACACAAAACCCUCUUAACUUAAACCACCUUGAGCCUACCUUUAUAACCUGCAGGGACUGUGUAUGAUACAAAUUGUAUUCUAUUUUAUUGAAACUGUCUUCCUUUGCUUAAAGUAUCUGUAGUGCUUUUCCGAAAAAUCAAGAGCCCCUGAGAUAUUUAAAGCAAUGUGAGCUAUGAGCAUCUGACUCACAUGCAGCUUUCCAGGAGGCAGGCAACCAGGACCAAGAUAAAACGAGGGGAACGGGUUAUGUAAAAGUCUACUUCACUUAAGAAACUCAGGCAAAUGUUCUUUCCGCCUAGCACUCUUAGGGCAACAGUGUCUCUGUUGUAAAUGAGAAAUUGAUUUCUGUAGACAUGCGCAGAAUUGAGCUAUUACUCUCCCUUUUUCAGUUGAUGUCAUCAAAAUAUGAUCCCCUGGGAUUUGCAGUAGCCCAGCAUUCAUUUAUUCCUUCUCCGGCGUUUUGUUUGGUGCUUACCAAGUGCCUCACACCAUCCCCUGCCAUUGGGGAAACCAAGAGAAAUGAGCUGUGGCCCUGGCCAACAGGCAUAACCUGGGCACAGUGUGAGGCCUGGAUGAGGCUCUCAGCUGUCACAGAUAAGCUGUGUGACCGUGGGCAAGUUCAACGUUCUGCUCCUCUGGACUCUUGGUGCCUCCACUGAUCAAACCCAACCGGAAGCUGGAUGUCAAAUGAACCCAUUGAUGCAGCCCACAUGGGUCAGUCUCCAGGGCACAGAUGAAGGCAGGAGAGGAGGAUACCCGACACAGCCGGUAGGUGCUCUCUGCUUGCAGAAGCAAACGGAAGGACCUAAACUCGGAGGCAAGCCUGGGAUGCUGAGAACGGAGAAGAGAAAUGACACAGGGCCGUUCCGAAGUUCUAUGUCUACUUUGUGACACUUGUCCAUCAAUGACGCCUGUGAACGUGGCCUCUCUCGGGAGUGGUGGGCCCCAUGAGCUCAGCUGCAAAUUGGAAGAAGGGUAAGAAGAAUGGAGGCGUAUAUUCUUAGCACCAUCAGUUUUUCUCCUGGGCUAACUCACUGGAGCUUUAAAGUCACUGUCUGCUGCCUGGGGAGAACACAGAGGGCAGAGAAGGUCAAGGUCAAGGCAAGACGGGUGCAACGCUUGCCCGGGCCCCUGGGAUCACCUUGCCGUACGCGGUCUUGUACUUCUGCUUUAUCUGUUGCCUCUGCUCCGAUGUCCUGGUUGAUAAGAUUUCAAUGAUGGCCGCCUCGUCCGUUCCUAAAGUGCGGAGAAAGAAGCAAAGCUGCAGUGAAUGCGAAACAGGAAGCAGGCUGAUCUGACUCAAGUCCAGAAUCCGGAUCUCCAGCUCAGAGGCUUUGUUCAGCUUUUUGACAUCUCGAUCCACAUCAAAACCCUGAUGACUUCUCGCUUUGGCCUGGAGAAAAUAAUGGGAAAAGUGAGUAAACAAUACAGGUAGACUUAAAUCAUCUCUGGCUGAAAUUUGCAGCUAACUGCAAGACUGAGUAGUCAGCCAGACAAGGGACCCGCUGCCAUUCCCCACAUCGGCACACGUGGAAAUCAGCAGGGGAAACUCUGGCCCGGUGGCUGGUACUCCUCACGGCCAGCUGGCCUUGGAUGACCGUAAGAGAAUGGCCACCUCUGUCCUCAAGUACAAUUGGUCUGGCCAGCUCUGCAAGGAGCAAUUUUCAUAGCAACCCCAGCUUUGUGUAUUUGUGUCUGAAACAGAGAAAACGCAGUGCUCCAGUGUCACAGAGGGCUGGUUUUCCCCUUUGGCCACAAGACCCAAGUAUGUCCAGGGGAUAACUUUUGCCUGCCAGAGACUGAGAGCUCCUGGCUCUGAUUACAGAUUCAUUUGGUACUGUAGACCUCUGUCAUCCCUACGGUGAGAUGCUGCCGAAUUUGCUGAGAUACUCUAUGACCAAGCAAGAGCAUGGGUUUUUUGGGGCAGAAAAGGGCCUCUUUAUGUACUGAGCUUCACCCAUUGGCAUACUAUAUGCCCCAACUGGUCUUUAGUUACUGAGGUCUAUAUUACUACUUUCAACUGAUUUUUGCUUUUAACUUAAAAUAGUUAAAAAAAAAAAAAAACUCAUAGAAAUCGAGUCUAAUGGUGGUUACUGGAGACCGGGGAGGGAGUUGGUUGGGAAGGAUGAAGAAAGGUUGAGGAAUGGCUGUGAACUUACAGCUGGCUGGUAGUAGGAGGUUCUAGCCCUCUGUUGCACAGUAGGGUGACUAUAGAUAAAGUACUGUGCAUUUGUCCAUGAAAAGAGAAAGUUAGAAGAUAGGAUUCUGGAUGCUUUGCCCAAAAGAGAUGUUAGAUAUUUGAGGAGAUGGAUAUAUUCACCUUGACUGGACUUUACACAGUGUAUACAUUUAUCAAAAUAUCGCAUGCUUGGGGCUAGUGUUAUGGUAUAGAGGCUGAAGCCACUGCCUCUGAUGCCAGCAUCUAUAUGGGCACUGGUCAAGUCUCAGCUGCUCCUCUUCCCAUGUAGCUCCCUGCUAAUGUGCCUGAGAAAGCAGCAGAAAAUGGCAUAAGUGCUUGGUCCCCUGUCACCCACGUAGGAGAUCUGGAUGAAGCUCUUGGCUCCUGGCUUUGACCUGGCCUGACCUGGGGCAUUGCAGCCAUUUGGAAAGUGAACCAGUAGAUGGAAGAUCUCUUUCUCUCUCUCUCUCUCUCUCUCUCUCUCUCUCUCUCUCUCUCUCCCCCUCCCUCCCUCCCUCUCUCCCUCCCCCUCCCCCCCCCUCUCUGGCUCUCCUUUUUCCUCUGUAACUCUGCUUUUCAAGUAAAUAAAAUAAAUUUUUUUGAGAAAAAUCAUGGCAACUCAUAAAUAUAUUUAAUAAAAAGUAGCUUCUUAAAACCCUACAAAAAGAAUGAAACUUCUAUUAGCAUGGAAAUGGAAAACAAUUUUCACUUGCCUAAGCAGAGGGUACCUAAUAAUGAAUAUAGCACUAUUAAAAAUACAUCACUACCAGCUAAUGGCAGCUGUGCAUCCAGUAGUCUUGAACACACCCUGAGUUUUCUCAGCUCUUUGCCUUUCUUUACCUCUGCGAAGUGCCUCAUGUCCAUUGGAGAUUCCCCAUCCUUCACAGAAGGUGAUUCAGAGCUACUGUGCACCAGCCCCACCCUGAAACUGUUCUCCCUGCUUUCACAUCCUUUGGCCGCGGUUGCAUGAACAGGAAAGCACACAUGGCCCAGGAGCCACGUUACGUGUAUCUGCUUGGCACUGUCCUAUCCUUUGGGCUACUUCCCUUUCCCCCAUUCUUAUAGGGCCACUAGGGCUGUCAGCCAUGAGGCUUGAGCCUCAGUGCCUGGCCCUCUGGGGCUAAUGUGGAAUUGGACCCUGUGCCCCGGUGCUAGUGACUUGUUCAGGAGUGGGGAUGUAAUCCAAGCAGGAUCUGUUAGUGUUUCUCUUGAUUCAUACCCUGAGAGGGAUGCAUGUCUUUCCCUACUGCACUUGCUGAGAGACUGUGUGUCUGGGUGGCUUUGAACAGUACAUAAAGG
Non-coding RNA from Oryctolagus cuniculus (rabbit), 8287 nucleotides. The record is from RefSeq and is a predicted model, not a curated record. NCBI's taxonomy places the organism in Eukaryota, Metazoa, Chordata, Mammalia, Lagomorpha, Leporidae.